CGCAGCCGCGGUAAUUCCAGCUCCAAUAGCGUAUAUUAAAGUUGUUGCAGUUAAAAAGCUCGUAGUUGAAUUUCGGGAUCAAUGUUUCGGUCAUGCCCUCGGUAUGUACUGAUAUUAUUGGUUUCUCACCUUCUAAAGAACCGUAAUGCCAUUAAUUUGGUGUCACGGGGAAUUAGGACUGUUACCUUGAAAAAAUUAGAGUGUUUAAAGCAGGCUCACGCUUGAAUACAUUAGCAUGGAAUAAUGAAAUAGGACAUCCGAUUCUAUUUUGUUGGUUUCUAGGAUCGAUGUAAUGAUUAAUAGGGAUAGUUGGGGGCAUUAGUAUUCAAUUGUCAGAGGUGAAAUUCUUGGAUUUAUUGAAGACUAACUACUGCGAAAGCAUUUGCCAAGGAUGUUUUCAUUAAUCAAGAACGAAAGUUAGGGGAUCGAAGACGAUCAGAUACCGUCGUAGUCUUAACCAUAAACUAUGCCGACUAGGGAUCGGAUGAUGUUAAUUUUUUAAUGACUCA
Molecule: ribosomal RNA, 509 nt
Filed under: uncultured glomeraceous AM fungus
Lineage: Eukaryota; Fungi; Glomeromycota; Glomeromycetes; Glomerales; Glomeraceae
Description: SSU rRNA
Rfam family: Eukaryotic small subunit ribosomal RNA
Source: RNAcentral